GCCCUGGCUCACUCUGCCCCUACACACGCACUCAUGGAUUCCGUGAUUGAUACUUGUCUCCCCUUUCAGACUGCGAGUCCAUAAGAGCAGGCGCAGGACCGUGCCGCCCGCUCAGACCUCACACAUCAUCCGAUCGCAGACAGCUACUCUGCCUUCGUUCUCUUCCCUCUCUGAGCCCCAGACAGCCUCCAGUGUGCGAAACUCGUCUGUGGUGGGUGUUAAAUCAAAAUUGGUGAUUCACUUUCAAACAACCAUCCUCUGUUCCUUCAGAGUAUUAACUCUGGUCAUAUGCCAGUCCACUCCUUCAAGGGCUACGUGAUUCAUACAGAAUCAAUGGAGAGAGGGAGGAAUGGAUACGCCUGCUACUCAGCCUAUGUUUAACCUUCUUUGAGGCUUGAGCUUCAAGUGCUUGUCAUGCUGCAGGGUUUUGGCCUCUGGAGGAGCCUCAGAGGGUGGGUCUGUCUAUCUAGUCAAGAGCUCAUGUCCAGAAUAAAAGUGAUUCUUUAUGGAGCAUUGGUAGAGGGGAGAGAGCAGCAAAACCAUGAACUUUGGAAGAAGACCACCUGCACCGACAGGCUGAUUCUAACACUCAUGAACCUUGUGAACUUAGGUAAUCUACUUAACCUAUCUCUGACUCCGUUUUCCCAUCUGUAAAAUGGGGACAACAAUAGCUUUUUACAUUCUAGGUUUGCUGGGAGCAUUAAAUAAAUUCUACAUGUUUUAUACCACAUUGAGAAGAGUUCCCAAUAGAUAGGACAUAACAUAAAUAUACUUUCUAUCAUUUUUAUGUAUUCAGGAGCUAGAACUUGCUGUGCCUUUGCAAGUGCCGGCCCUAUAACCACUUCCUGCUACGUUUCCUGCCACUUUUCUGUCAGUUCCAGCUUCUGCCUCCCUUCUGAUCUGAGUUGCUGAGUUACUGAGGUCUGAGCACGUCCUGCCCCUGAUCCUACUUGGAUUACAGCCGUGUUGUUUUUUUUCCUCUGUGUUUUUACAAAGGCUCAGUCUGCGCUGGUGGGAAUUAGUCCUCCUGUCUCAGUUGUGCCUUAGCUCAGUCCCAAGGAAAUGUGUUGCAGCAGGUUUAAUCUGACACACCAGCUGUUACUGAGAGCGGGAGAGUUUGAGGAAGGCGAUUCUCGCCAGCAGAAGGAGACCCAGUUCGGCUCCACCGUGCUGGGUGGAGCGGUAAGUCCAGAGGUCAGUGGGCCUGUCACCUCUCCCUGCCCCCGUGGGCUCCUUGCCUGGCGAGUAUUAAUGAAACUCUUCCUAAGGAUGGGUUGCCAGGGACAUUUCAAAACAGAACUGGUUAUUUAGGCUCACUAAUGGCAUCAGAGGGCUGAGACAUGACAGAUGAAAUGGCUAAGGAAGAGGACAUCGUCCAACAGGAAGGACAAAUGCCAAGUCCAGAGGUUUCAUUCAACACAGGCUCCACCGCUUACGGCUUCAGUGACCCUGGUCAAGCCUCUUCCCCUCCUUGGGCCUCCCCAUCUGUUACAGGAGAGAGUUCAUUCACUCCCUUGACAAACAUUUACCGGGCUCCUUCUGGGUCGUAGGCACCUCUGACCAGAUGGACUUUUGGGUGUUUUAUGCUGGAAUCAUUCUGUGAAGUGUAUCUCUGAAACCUCAAAUGUGGUGAAUUUGGGGACAGGAACACAAUAACUGUACUGUUUUAAUUUGUGUCAUUAAUUAGUGUAGCACAUAAUAUGCACUCUCAAAGUGUUUGAAGAUUUUUUAAAAAACCCAUCUGGUUUUCUCGUUUUCUCAAAGAUUUCCGUGCCAUUUUAUAGAUUUGGGUUUUUGUAUUUACUGUAUCUUUCCUUUCUGUCCACCUUGUGUUCAGGUUGCUCUUCUUUUUCUGACCCUUUUUUAAGGUAGAACACAAAUCACUUCUUUUUUUUUUUUUUUGGUCUAAGUAUAGAUGGUUGUGAUUUUUUUCCCCUAGCACUGCCUUAGCUGCUGCCUCAAAUUGAUAUGUGUUUUUUUCAUUAUGAUUAUCUGAGAUAUUUUAGUGUCUCUUGGAAUUUCUUCUCUAACCAAUGUAGCAGUCAUUUAAUUUCUAAAAAUCACUUGUGUAAGUUCUUUGUUACCUAAUAAUAGACUCUUCUCUCUGUAGCCAGGAGAGGGGUUCAAAUUGUUUGGUUUUUGGUGAAAGAUAAUCCACGUUUUAUGCUAUCUAUAACAACAAUGUUUUUUUUUUUUUUUACUCCAUACUUAAAUCUUAUUUCAUAUUGUUAAAAUAAUUCCCAGAGGUAGUCACUUCAGGUUUUGUCUUUUAGUUAUGCUUAUUUAAGAGGGUGCAAAGUAAACUUAGUAACACCCACUUUGGAUGUUUUAAAGUUUUCCUUUUUCUUACUUACUGGUUCUUUCUUAUCAAACGGAUAAGUCUGUUGGCAUAGUGAAUUCCAGUAAAUGAGGUAUUAUUCUGUCUUCCACUCACUCUAUAGAGUUAUCAACCAGCUAUAAUUUAAAAUCACAAAUACCACUAUUUUGGGGAAAAGGAUCAAUGCUUUAUGUUCUUCAGGAAACAAAAUAACAAUGUCCUUGCCCUUAAGUUGCUCAGAGUAGAGAUGGAAAGCCCCAUUAGGGUUAUGUGCAAAAUUAAAGAAAAAAAUCAAACUUUACAGAUGCAAAAAAAAAAAAAAAAAGAAAAGAAACCAAAAAAACCAACCAAACAACAAAAAAAACAAAAUAGAGGAAAUUUUGUGAAAAACCGAUGAUUGGGUAGAUAAUGUGGACAAUUCAAAGAAGAAACUAAAACUCAGUGUUGUCUGGGAGAACAUUUUACAGAAAGACUGUGUUAAGGGAAGAGUGUAUAACCUCAGGGUACUUAUUUUAGGCUCAACAGCUCUUGCUGCUCAAAUCCCAGGAUUGUGUUUCUCUGCAAAGGUUUGGGAGGCUCUGAUUCUCUGAAGCAUAAUAGACCAUGUUGUCUAAUUUGACAUCCUGCCUUUGUCCUGCUCAGUGCAUGACCCACCGUGGCUCUGAGAUCUUUUUAUCUGCAGAGAACCUCUUCUGCUUUCUGGAGUCCCAGUUGUCCACUUUCAUUAUCUCCUUACUUGUGAGUCUGUCCCAGGUGCUCCUGUGGCUAGUGAUGGGACGGGCUCAUAUCCUGAGUCCAAACGAGGCUACAGGACCAUAUGGAUUUCUAUGCACAAAAGAAAUAAAUGAGGCACGAUGGACUGGGAAGAGCGUCUCCAAAUACACCCGCAGAUUUAAUUGGGUUGUGCACAGCUCUUCGGGACUAAAAGUUGCAAAAGAGUUCUGUAUAUUAUUGCUUUGAGGUCAGAUCUGCUAGACCCUCAGCUAUCCUCCCAGGGAUGGGGAAUUAAAAGAAGAAAUAUCAAACACCAUGUCAUUCUGUAGUCCUGAGGAGGGAAGCAGUGUGUGCCUUGGCAGCACUCUGUCCUGGUUUGGAAAGCAGGGCUGAAAGGCGAAACGGACAGCUUUUACAAAACCCUGUUCACCCAGGUCUCGUGUUUAUCUGCAGACCUGAGCCAGCCUCCUGUCACUGGGUGUUGGAGUGUUGGCUGGGCAAGGGGAGUGUGUGUACCCUUCUACCUACCUACCACUUUAUGGGGAUUCAGGAACAGGAACCGGAACUUACAGUGGAUCUUAAAAGGUGGAUAGAGGAAAUGUCACUUCUAGAAAUAGUUUCUCCACCCCAAGUUUAAAUAACUAUUCACUUCCUAUUUUCUUUUGUUUAUUUUAUUAAAACAUUUAGUUUUCGGUGUAAAAUAAAGACACAAUCAUUCCUUGCAAUCCACUAGUCACUGGCAUUUAUUAAGGAUGCCAUCAAGCUGGUGGGACAUGCUAUUUUGUGUAGUGCUCUUGUGCUCUCUGAGAAUCCACCUGAACUUGCCACUCUCUGUCACUCUCAGUCCUACUCCACAGUUUUGAUACUUAGCUCAAUGCUUCUUCAGCUUGUCCCUAUUCACAUGCCGCCUGGAUAAUGCUUGGCUGCGAGGAUCCUCGUGUGCAUUGUGCGAGGUUGAACAACACCCUAGGGUACUGCCAGAUAGAACUCAGGGGCACGUGCCUUCCACUCCCAGCCCAGUUGUGACAAGCACAAACCUCUCAAGGACAUUGUCAACUACCCCUGGCAGACAAAAAUCACUUCCCAGUUGAGAACCAUUUUUUUUAAAUCUUACAUUGGAAUUUCUGUCUUAAAACAAGGCCCCUCUUUCCCCACCACACUUCUGAUUGGUACCUUAUAGUCUGACAUCCUGAUAGCAUGACAGGCCCCCUCUUGCUCUUCCCUUUCCUUCCCCCCAAAUCUCAGUUAUUCUCAUUUACUAUUCCACUUGCAUUUUAGAUUCAUUUAGCAAAUACAUUUAAAAUAUAUUAAAUUUAUAUAUUGAUUUAGGGUAAGAACUAUGUUUUAAAAUAUUAAUUAUCUUAUACAGUAAUGUUUCUAUUAAAUAAAAAGAGAAAUGUUUCCAUUCAUAUCAGUAUUCUCCUAUAUUCCAAGUUAACACAUAGAUUUAUGACUGGUUAUAACUUUAGCAUUAAAAUAUAUAUUAAGGGCUAUGGUUAUGGCUCAGUGGUAGAGCACUUGCCUUACAUGUGUGAGGCACUGGGUUCAAUUCUCAGCACUGCAUAUAAAUAAAUGAAUAAAAUAAAGGUCCAUCAACAGCUAAAAAAAAUUAAAAAAUAUUUUAAAUUUGACUCCUUGUUUAAUCCAAAUUAUUAACUCAUGGAUAGGCACAUAAAUUAUUAUUUACACUUUACAAAUGAGACUCAGAUGCUGAAUGAGGCUGUUGAUUUGGAUUUGAGGCCUCUUUCUGUGACCAUCUGCCUCAUUUGAGGAUCCAACAAUUGGAAAAUAAGUCAACAAGGAUAUUAAAAUAUAGUGUGAGGCUGCCUACAUUUAAAAGUAAAGUUGGAAACAAAUACAUUUCAUUUUUAAAUGCAAGGGGAGUCCCCUCCCUUGCUGCCCUCCCCUCCCCACCAUGGUUUUGAGUUUCUUAACUUUCAUGCUUUCCCUGUUGGGUCAGAAAUCUUAUAAAUUUCUUUCAUCAGAUUUCUGGAUCAAUUUUGCAAACUCAAAGGCUUGUGUACCUUGGAUGCUUUUGAGCAUAACCCCCUAAUUAGCAACGCUUGCGUGACAUUCUGAGACGUUGGUGUCUCAUUCAUUUUAAUGGGGUCUAGUAUUUUAUUUAGAGGAUCAGCAAUGUGUGAUAAAAAGGUGAAUUAUGUGGUCAUGACCCGAAACUCAUUAUGAUCAUAAAACAUUUGACUCUUCCCCUCCUCUUUCCCUCUCUCUACCUAGGUCCUGGAAAUGGGAGAAAGCUUUGGAACAUAAAAUCAUUGUGUUAUCAGAUCUUUUUGACAAAAGUUCUACCUUUAAACAAUAACCCUGCCUGAUUGGGAAGAGAAUAUUGGUUUCUUUUUCUUCUGUCUUAGGAUGUGGGACUUAGUUCAGUAAACAGCAGGACGUAAAAGAGGAGGUGACAGAAACAGGAAUGGUACCCGCUAAGGAGGCAGAGAAAGCUGGGGUGGGACUGGCUGGUGGGGAGAGAGGGAGGUCCAGACCAGGUGACAGAACACGGAAUCUGAGGACAACAGGCCGCAAGGAGGGACUGGCAGGUGUCUGGUAUUAGGUAGGACCUGAGUUUGGCUCAAAUUAACAGCAACGUGUUAAGAGGAAAUAAUUGAAAAUCCAAAGGGAGGACAGCACAGGGAAAAAUUGCCCAGAAAUAACCUGGUUUUGGUUUCUGAGUGAAGUUCAAGAAGAGAGAGGAAAAGAAGGUGGGACUAAGAAAAACCAACUCAGAGUGCUAGUUUUAUGGAAUUAGGAGAUUGAAAUAAGAGCCUACCGCAAGGAAAUGUCAGAGCUUAGUUAACAAAGGAAAGGGUGUGAGAUCCUGCCAGAUGGGGAGCAAACAUCCCUCUAUAUCUUGAUGCAUUAGGUGGGACCAGCUUCCAUCCCACUGCAGGCACCAGUCAGCUUAUCCAUUAUAUUGACAAAGCUGUUGGAGCACCUGCCGUGUUUGGAGUCGGUGAUGGAAAUUCAGUAGAGAAAAUUCAAAAGAGAAAAGUGUCCUGCUGCCAUGUUGUUCAUAUUCUAAGAGAGAGAGAGAGAGAGAGAGAGAGCGCACCAACAUAACGAAUAGGUAGUAUUAAAUAAAUAAGAUGUACUGUAUGCUAGAAAGCUAUUAGUAAUACAAAAAUGGUAUGCAGUAAAAUGAAUUCAGUGUUCCAGGUGUCAAAUCAAAAUAAAUACAGACUUAGAUAAAGGGGAACUUGAUUUUAAAAGACAAUUGCAAUAAGAAGGGUGCUUUGAUCUCAGAAAUCUGAAGCAUCUCAAAAUCAAACAGGAAAGGGGUUAUUGUUCAUAGAGAAG
Molecule: long non-coding RNA, 6340 nt
Filed under: Marmota monax (woodchuck)
Lineage: Eukaryota; Metazoa; Chordata; Mammalia; Rodentia; Sciuridae
Rfam family: tRNA (bases 4531-4587)
Source: RNAcentral